UGGGGAAUAUUGCACAAUGGGGAAGACCCUGAUGCAGCGACGCCGCGUGAAGGAAGAAGGUCUUCGGAUUGUAAACUGUUGUCGCAAGGGAAGAAGACAGUGACGGUACCUUGUGAGAAAGUCACGGCUAACUACGUGCCAGCAGCCGCGGUAAUACGUAGGUGACAAGCGUUGUCCGGAUUUACUGGGUGUAAAGGGCGCGUAGGCGGACUGUCAAGUCAGUCGUGAAAUACCGGGGCUUAACCCCGGGCUGGCGAUUGAAAUACUGACAGCCUUGAGUAUCGGAGAGGAAAGCGGAAUUCCUAGUGUAGCGGUGAAAUGCGUAGAUAUUAGGAGGAACACCAGUGGCGAAGGCGGCUUACUGGACGGUAACUGACGUUGAGGCUCGAAAGCGUGGGGAGCAAACAGGAUUAGAUACC
Molecule: ribosomal RNA, 419 nt
Filed under: uncultured bacterium
Lineage: Bacteria
Description: bacterial SSU rRNA
Rfam family: Bacterial small subunit ribosomal RNA
Source: RNAcentral